GUGCGACCCCAGGAUGGGCGGGGUGACCCGCUGAGUUUAAGCAUAUCAAUAAGCGGAGGAGAGGAAACUUACGAGGAUUCCCCUA
RNAcentral lists this ribosomal RNA (85 nucleotides) under Disa longicornu. RNAcentral's name for it is "partial 25S ribosomal RNA". It matches the Rfam family "Eukaryotic large subunit ribosomal RNA", at positions 1 to 82 of the family's 3401-position model. RNAcentral also lists the same sequence under 6 other names. Lineage: Eukaryota; Viridiplantae; Streptophyta; Magnoliopsida; Asparagales; Orchidaceae. The record is from RNAcentral.